Molecule: ribosomal RNA, 319 nt
Filed under: Symbiodinium sp. clade D
Lineage: Eukaryota; Dinophyceae; Suessiales; Symbiodiniaceae
Description: partial Bacterial large subunit ribosomal RNA
Rfam family: Bacterial large subunit ribosomal RNA
Source: RNAcentral
GGGUAAGUUCCGACGCGCAUGAAUAGUGUAACGACUGGAGCACUGUCUCCACGACGGACUCGGUGAAAUAGUAGUGGCGGUGAAGAUGCCGCCUACCCGCAGCAAGACGGAAAGACCCCGUGGACCUUUACUGUAGGCUUUUAUUGGCCAUGAGCAUAUGUCGCGUAGGAUAAGUGGGAGGCUUCGAAGCCGGGUUUCUGGACCUGGUGGAGCCGUUGGUGAAAUACCACUCUUUGUACGUUUGUGGCCUAACCUCGAUUCCCGUGAAGCCGGGCGAGGGACAGUGAGUGCCGGUCAGUUUGACUGGGGCGGUCUCCUC